CAACCCUGUCAUUAAUUGCCAUCAUUUAGUUGGGCACUUUAAUGAGACUGCCGGUGAUAAACCGGAGGAAGGUGGGGAUGACGUCAAGUCCUCAUGGCCCUUAUGGGUAGGGCUUCACACGUAAUACAAUGGCGCGUACAGAGGGUUGCCAACUCGCGAGAGGGAGCUAAUCUCAGAAAGCGCGUCGUAGUCCGGAUCGGAGUCUGCAACUCGACUCCGUGAAGUCGGAAUCGCUAGUAAUCGCGGAUCAGCAUGUCGCGGUGAAUACGUUCCCGGGUUUUGUACACACCGCCCGUCACACCAUGGGAGAGGGUUUCACCAGAAGCAGGUAGUCUAACCGUAAGGAGGGCGCUUGCCACGGUGAGGUUCAUGACUGGGGUGAAGUCGUAACAAGGUA
Molecule: ribosomal RNA, 397 nt
Filed under: uncultured bacterium
Lineage: Bacteria
Description: bacterial SSU rRNA
Rfam family: Bacterial small subunit ribosomal RNA
Source: RNAcentral